This 489-nucleotide ribosomal RNA is filed under the name uncultured bacterium. RNAcentral's name for it is "bacterial SSU rRNA". It matches the Rfam family "Bacterial small subunit ribosomal RNA", at positions 1 to 507 of the family's 1533-position model. The record is from RNAcentral.
UACGAGUUUGAUCAUGGCUCAGAAUCAACGCUGGCGGCGUGCCUCAGACAUGCAAGUCGAACGAUUAAAGCUCUCUUCGGAGAGUGCAUAGAGUGGCGCACGGGUGAGUAACACGUAAGUAAUCUACCUUCGAGUGGGGAAUAACGUCCGGAAACGGGCGCUAAUACCGCAUAAUGCAGCGGCAUCGCAAGAUGACAGUUGUUAAAGGAGCAAUCCGCUUGAAGAGGAGCUUGCGGCAGAUUAGCUAGUUGGUAGGGUAAUGGCCUACCAAGGCUACGAUCUGUAACCGGUCUUAGAGGACGGUCGGUCACACUGACACUGAAUAACGGGUCAGACUCCUACGGGAGGCAGCAGUCGGGAAUUUUGGGCAAUGGGGGAAACCCUGACCCAGCAACGCCGCGUGAAGGAUGAAGUAUUUCGGUAUGUAAACUUCGAAAGAAUAGGAAGAAUUAAUGACGGUACUAUUUAUAAGGUCCGGCUAACUACGUG